This 324-nucleotide unclassified non-coding RNA is filed under the name Hevea brasiliensis (rubber tree). The record is from RNAcentral. Lineage: Eukaryota; Viridiplantae; Streptophyta; Magnoliopsida; Malpighiales; Euphorbiaceae.
AGGAACCAAAUUCUCACAUAUUACUUUACUACAUUUACUACACAUCUUAUGGGGUUGAUCUCACAUAUUCUAUUCUUGCAUUUUGGCGAAAGGGAUGAAUCUUUAAUACACUUGCUAUGUUUCAGAUUGGUGACAUCUCGUACAAGUGAAUUCUUUGAUUGAUGCUAGUUCUUCCGUUCAUCAACUCCUAAAACAGAAAACCCCAGUAAACAAUAAAUGCUACCUAAAUAGUUUCAUCUUUCCACGAGACCAUCUACAAGAAUGACCAAUGCUUUGUAAUUUAUAGCAAUUGUCAAUGUCUAAGUAUCCUCUAGGGGUGAGCAU